This is a long non-coding RNA of Oryzias melastigma (Indian medaka), 1826 nucleotides long. RefSeq lists it as uncharacterized. The transcript has 2 exons. The record is from RefSeq and is a predicted model, not a curated record. Lineage: Eukaryota; Metazoa; Chordata; Actinopteri; Beloniformes; Adrianichthyidae.
CACUGCGGUGCUUCUAAUCUCAAAGCAAACACCGGACAGCCUGCUGUUUUCCUGUGAGUCAUGCCGGCCGCUGCCCUCCAUUUUACCCCCUUCUUUCUUCAUCGGGGUAACAUGUUCAGGUCUCCUGGACAGAGUCUGGCCUCAUGUCCUCAUGUGGAGAUUUUGAAGCUGCACUGAGCCUGACAGGAUAAAAGCUAAUCAUACAGUUGUCUUUAAGCUUUUGAGGAUCUUUGGUUGGAGCUCCACCUUUUUCCCGCUCAGCCCAUUGGGUUCCUCAGGCAGAGAGGAGUAAUGUUUAUGACGUUAGCCCCAUCGUGUGACGUGACAGAACUGCUAAAGAAAUCAAUCAUACCUGUCCUGAGGAACACGCUCUCAAAGAUGCAUUUCUAUUAGGCCUGAAAAAUAGAGCAAAAAAUGUGUUGUCAUUGCAAUAGAGUAAUGACUCUCAAAAUGUAUUAUAUAUAAAAAUAUUUGAGACUAUAGAAAGGCAAGCUAAUCCACAGUCGACCCUGAACUGUAGGUGUGUUUACUUGUAGUCUGUCUUGUUCUGGGUUGUACUGAAACUAAUCAUAUUUCCCCUCGUGGGAAAAUGUUUAUUCUAUUCUAUUCUAGUCUGGUCUGGUCUGGUUUGGUUUGGUUUAUUCAGCGGAGCUGCCAUCAGUGAGUGAAUGUGAUAGAAAGUCAUUUACAGAAGUAUACUGCCGUGCAUCCAGUCCCACAGACUUCAUAAAUGGCGGCAAACGCAGGAAGUUGGGGGCUGCUGGAGACGGAACCCGCUUGCCAGAUCUCACAGCUGAAGCUCAUUGACUGACUGACAGAUUUUAUGUCUCCAUACUACAGGAAGUGAUGUCGUUUCAGCCGUAUCAGGUGACUCUUUACAUUUUCAAUAGAUGUGUCCCAAGCAGCACACUGAGUUCACAGAAAGCAUUUGUCAUUCCUGCACUUCAAUCAGGGUUUUCCUCUGUGUCUGGGACAGCUUCAUACUUUACCUCUGCAGACACAAAGCUGUUGGAACUCAAAGCCAGGUUUUUCUCUGAUGUGGUCUGGGGACAGAUGGACUUCCACCUCUUGUUUGGUCUUAUUGUGGUUCGUCAAACACGUUUAAGGCUUUUGGUUCCUCGAGCGUUCCCGUGAGGAAGACGCUGCUUCACUUUUCAGGAAAACCAGAGCUCCUUUUUUGAUUCACCCUAAAGAGAAGAAGAGUUUUCAGAUCAGUCGAAAUGAAAGAAACUGACCAAGACUCAGCCUCCGUCUUGUAAAACAACACAAAACAGUUUGUCAGCUUAGGAGCAUCGACUACCCUAUAGUGCAAAUCACAUCAACAAAUUACUCAACGCAAAAACAUUUUAAAUAUCACAUCGAUGAUGAAAGAAGCUAAACAUAUUUUAAAAAAUCAGUAUUACAUUGCAUUCAAUUUCAGAAACUGAAAGACAAAAAACAAAAAUGGAAAAAACAUUUUAGAAAACAAAGUAAUUUCUAGAAAACAAAAUGAAGUUUCAGAAAAACGAAACCCAGUGAGGAACCAGAAAAAUUAUGGGAUGUCCCUGAUUGGAUGAUGAUAUCCAGUAUUGCUGAUGCCAUAAUCCGAUCAGCAAUGUCCCAUAAUACCUCUUGCAGUUUCUUUUGUCUUUUGUUUUUAACAUUCCAUCUUGUUUUCUCAAAUGUUGUUUUUUCUUUUUUACAGAAACCGGAAAUGGUAGGUACGAUUGGACAUAGCUGAUUGGAUAACGACGUUUGUCCAUCUUUUCACUGACAGUUAUUUGGUAUGAAGCGAUACUGGAUACCAUUAACCUGUUAGUGAUUGGUACCUAUCUUUUCUGGUUUCU